RNAcentral lists this ribosomal RNA (1399 nucleotides) under uncultured bacterium. Its description in RNAcentral is "bacterial SSU rRNA". It matches the Rfam family "Bacterial small subunit ribosomal RNA". The record is from RNAcentral.
AGAGUUUGAUCCUGGCUCAGAUUGAACGCUGGCGGCAGGCCUAACACAUGCAAGUCGAGCGGUAGCACAGAGAGCUUGCUCUCGGGUGACGAGCGGCGGACGGGUGAGUAAUGUCUGGGAAACUGCCUGAUGGAGGGGGAUAACUACUGGAAACGGUAGCUAAUACCGCAUAAUGUCGCAAGACCAAAGUGGGGGACCUUCGGGCCUCAUGCCAUCAGAUGUGCCCAGAUGGGAUUAGCUAGUAGGUGGGGUAACGGCUCACCUAGGCGACGAUCCCUAGCUGGUCUGAGAGGAUGACCAGCCACACUGGAACUGAGACACGGUCCAGACUCCUACGGGAGGCAGCAGUGGGGAAUAUUGCACAAUGGGCGCAAGCCUGAUGCAGCCAUGCCGCGUGUGUGAAGAAGGCCUUCGGGUUGUAAAGCACUUUCAGCGGGGAGGAAGGCGGUGAGGUUAAUAACCUCAUCGAUUGACGUUACCCGCAGAAGAAGCACCGGCUAACUCCGUGCCAGCAGCCGCGGUAAUACGGAGGGUGCAAGCGUUAAUCGGAAUUACUGGGCGUAAAGCGCACGCAGGCGGUCUGUCAAGUCGGAUGUGAAAUCCCCGGGCUCAACCUGGGAACUGCAUUCGAAACUGGCAGGCUAGAGUCUUGUAGAGGGGGGUAGAAUUCCAGGUGUAGCGGUGAAAUGCGUAGAGAUCUGGAGGAAUACCGGUGGCGAAGGCGGCCCCCUGGACAAAGACUGACGCUCAGGUGCGAAAGCGUGGGGAGCAAACAGGAUUAGAUACCCUGGUAGUCCACGCCGUAAACGAUGUCGAUUUGGAGGUUGUGCCCUUGAGGCGUGGCUUCCGGAGCUAACGCGUUAAAUCGACCGCCUGGGGAGUACGGCCGCAAGGUUAAAACUCAAAUGAAUUGACGGGGGCCCGCACAUGCGGUGGAGCAUGUGGUUUAAUUCGAUGCAACGCGAAGAACCUUACCUGGUCUUGACAUCCACAGAACUUUCCAGAGAUGGAUUGGUGCCUUCGGGAACUGUGAGACAGGUGCUGCAUGGCUGUCGUCAGCUCGUGUUGUGAAAUGUUGGGUUAAGUCCCGCAACGAGCGCAACCCUUAUCCUUUGUUGCCAGCGGUUCGGCCGGGAACUCAAAGGAGACUGCCAGUGAUAAACUGGAGGAAGGUGGGGAUGACGUCAAGUCAUCAUGGCCCUUACGACCAGGGCUACACACGUGCUACAAUGGCAUAUACAAAGAGAAGCGACCUCGCGAGAGCAAGCGGACCUCAUAAAGUAUGUCGUAGUCCGGAUUGGAGUCUGCAACUCGACUCCAUGAAGUCGGAAUCGCUAGUAAUCGUAGAUCAGAAUGCUACGGUGAAUACGUUCCCGGGCCUUGCACACACCGCCCGUCA